Molecule: ribosomal RNA, 466 nt
Filed under: uncultured bacterium
Lineage: Bacteria
Description: partial 16S ribosomal RNA
Rfam family: Bacterial small subunit ribosomal RNA
Source: RNAcentral
GACGAACGCUGGCGGCGCGCCUAACACAUGCAAGUCGAACGAGCGAGCGAGAGCUUGCUUUCUUGAGCGAGUGGCGAACGGGUGAGUAACGCGUGAGGAACCUGCCUCAAAGAGGGGGACAACAGUUGGAAACGACUGCUAAUACCGCAUAAGCCCACGGUGCCGCGUGGCACAGGGGGAAAAGGAGCAAUCCGCUUUGAGAUGGCCUCGCGUCCGAUUAGCUAGUUGGUGAGGUCACGGCCCACCAAGGCGAGGAUCGGUAGCCGGACUGAGAGGUUGAACGGCCACAUUGGGACUGAGACACGGCCCAGACUCCUACGGGAGGGAGCAGUGGGGAAUAUUGCACAGUGGGGGAAACGCUGAUGCAGCGACGCCGCGAGGAGGAAGAAGGUCUUGGGAUUGUAAACUCCUGUUGUUGGGGAAGAUAAUGACGGUACCCAACAAGGAAGUGACGGCUAACUACGUG